CAUCUGAUAAGUAGAGAAAAUUUCGGAGGUUAAUCAAUUUUCCUUCUCUUUUAAUGUGCUUGUGAUUUUUAAUCAUCUGCGGGUCUCAAUUCUUAAACCGAACCGUUAGAAUGUAGGUAAUAGACCCCCCGACGAAAUGGAAAAGCCCGCCGAUUCUGCUUCCCUCAAAUUUUGUGUCGAUUCUGUGAACACGAUCUUCCACUUGUGCAAAAACAUAUGGACGUACUAUGUGCCAAAUUUGGUGUUAAAUUUCUAGAAGCCGUUUCUAAAGACGAAAAUUCAACUUUAAAAUCAUCCUGCACCUUUGAAGUUCUAAGAAAUCCGAAGGAAAAGUGUUCAUCGUCUGAUUUAUCUAAGAUCAAACAGAAUACCCAGAGUUAUGUAGAUGCGUUGUGUAGCGCAGAAAAGAAAACGGGGAUCGAAGAGGACGAAGAUGAAGAUGCACAAAACGAGCGGAACGACUCGAGUUACGAUUCGGAUUACGAGGCAGGCGACGAAUCGGCGCUCCACGAGGACAUCAGUCGCACCGUUUCUGACACCCUCAAAGCGGAGUUUGAUGAAUAUGUCAACACAAAUGACACGAGUUACAUGAGUAAAGUGGAGUUUGGCCUCAAGCUCGGUUACUCAGAAAAGCUUGUCCAAACAGCACUUCAAAAACUAGGGCCGAAUCCGGAACAAAUGAGUUAUUGGAGGUACGUGUGUUUUUAAGUUCAGCCUUCGUCGAAUAUCAUAGAGACGGCGUAAAGCCGCAAUCACAUAUCUCGUUUGCGGUGUCUGAAAAUCUCCGCCUCUAUGUUAUUCAAGGUGUCUAGCAUCAGGAUUUUCCCGAUUCUAUCAGGAUUUGAGGAAAAAUCGGUCGUAAAAUCAGAAUUUGAGAAAAGUCGGCUGACCGAUCGGAUUUUUUUAUGCUUUCGCAUACGCUCGUGCAGAAAUUUUAAUUUUUCGCCGCAAAAAUCAGGAUUUGGGAAAAUUAUGAAAUCAGGAUUUAGCAGUCAAAAAUCAGGAUUUCCCAAAAUGAAAGAAAACUAGACACCCUGUUAUUUUUUUAAAGGAGAACAAAUUGACAUCAUUCCUUGAAGUUUAUGCAAAAUUUUCUUCGCACAGAGAAGAAAAAUCACGGCAGUUUUAAAGAAUUGCUCUUGAGUAGUUUUCCAUUUAAAAAAUAAAGUAUGACAGGAAGUCUGCGACGUCGCAAACCGAGUCAUGUGAUUGCCGACUUACACUGUCGAGAUGCCUUUCAUAAAACCCAUAGGCGG
Molecule: long non-coding RNA, 1256 nt
Filed under: Bemisia tabaci
Lineage: Eukaryota; Metazoa; Arthropoda; Insecta; Hemiptera; Aleyrodidae
Description: lncRNA ENSSSA3NGG004694
Source: RNAcentral